CUUGAAAAUGAUGGUGUUGCUUUUUAGAUAAGGUCUCUUUCAUGUUCCAAAGCCUGGAGCAUGUCCAAGUCGGUGGCAGCCACUCCAUCUAGUCUAUUGCAAGUCUUGAUGUCAAUAUUGAUCUUCUAAUUCGGAUGCCCCAGUCAUGGAGAUUGCUGAACAUUAUAAAUUUUUCAUUCGGAUGAUACCAACAGCUACAUGUGUGUUUCAUGUCUCGAGGUUGAAUUUAAUAAGAAAUAAUGUUCGUGCAUUCAGCCAAGGUGGUGUUACUCAAGCUACUCCAAAGUACAAUAGCAGUAUAAUGAAAGACAUGUUUUUGGAGGAAAAUGAAGAAUUUGUCAGAAAAGUUUAUCUUGAAUGGAAAACUCUCCAAAUCCAAGUAGCAAAUAUUUGUGGUUCAGCGGUUUCAGUGGGUCCUCAAUUUGAAUGUACAAUUUUUUUUUUUAUUCUAUG
This is a long non-coding RNA of Elaeis guineensis (African oil palm), 453 nucleotides long. RefSeq lists it as uncharacterized. The record is from RefSeq and is a predicted model, not a curated record. NCBI's taxonomy places the organism in Eukaryota, Viridiplantae, Streptophyta, Magnoliopsida, Arecales, Arecaceae.